This 452-nucleotide ribosomal RNA is filed under the name uncultured bacterium. Its description in RNAcentral is "bacterial SSU rRNA". It matches the Rfam family "Bacterial small subunit ribosomal RNA", at positions 29 to 524 of the family's 1533-position model. The record is from RNAcentral.
AGCGAACGCUGGCGGCAGGCUUAACACAUGCAAGUCGAACGCGCGUAGCAAUACGUGAGUGGCAGACGGGUGAGGAACACGUGGGAAUAUGCCCUUUGGUUCGGAAUAACUCAGGGAAACUUGAGCUAAUACCGGAUAUCUCCGAGAGGAGAAAGAUUUAUCGCCAAAGGAUUAGCCCGCGUCUGAUUAGCUAGUUGGUGAGGUAACGGCUCACCAAGGCGACGAUCAGUAGCUGGUCUGAGAGGAUGAUCAGCCACACUGGGACUGAGACACGGCCCAGACUCCUACGGGAGGCAGCAGUGGGGAAUAUUGGACAAUGGGCGCAAGCCUGAUCCAGCCAUGCCGCGUGAGUGAUGAAGGCCUUAGGGUUGUAAAGCUCUUUUGUCCGGGAAGAUAAUGACUGUACCGGAAGAAUAAGCCCCGGCUAACUUCGUGCCAGCAGCCGCGGUAAU